AAAAGUUUGACUGCCUGAAGGACAUCCCUUCUUCCCUUCUCUCAUCCUUUAGACUUUCAUCAAUACUGUUCUUGAUUUCUUUCUGUACAUUGCUUGACUAUUGUUAGUUUUUCUGAGUGUCACUCAAAUUCCCAUAUGACAGAAAGGCAGAGAAAAUUUGAUACCCAUCACUGAGAAAGUUUGGGAGAGUUCUCAAAAGUAUUACAUAUUUUUGCAUGGCUCUUACUUUUCCCUAGGGAUUUCCUUAUGGCCACUGUUGGAGAACAAGACUGAGAGAUGACCUCUUGUUCUGACCCACUACAGCCUUUCUUAUGUUCUUAUAAUUAAGACUGUGACAUGGAAGUGCGGCAGUUCCGACUUUGGGCACAAGAGGUAGAUGUUUUCACAGGAAACUUCCAACAAAUAUUCUGAUGAACAACUCUGUUAUACUCCGGGGGACCAGCAAUUGUUCAUUUCCUCCUUUAUGUGUUCUUUAGUUGCAGAAGUGAUAUAA
RNAcentral lists this long non-coding RNA (493 nucleotides) under Apteryx owenii (little spotted kiwi). RNAcentral describes it as "lncRNA (ENSAOWG00000006405.1)". The record is from RNAcentral. Lineage: Eukaryota; Metazoa; Chordata; Aves; Apterygiformes; Apterygidae.